RNAcentral lists this long non-coding RNA (437 nucleotides) under Fukomys damarensis (Damara mole-rat). RNAcentral's name for it is "lncRNA (ENSFDAG00000022872.1)". The record is from RNAcentral. Lineage: Eukaryota; Metazoa; Chordata; Mammalia; Rodentia; Bathyergidae.
CACCUUGGGACUGAGGUUCAGAGGGUGCUUGGUGAAAAGUGACAAUAGUUCAGUUGUAUUCCUUGCUGAAAAUGGAGAAUAUAAAGCAAACAUUGGUGUUUCCUAGAUUCCUUUCACUAAUGACAUAUGUUGUUUACAUGCAACAUCUCUUUAAUUCCACAGCCCGAGGCAUGGUUGCAAUACUGAGUUUUCCUACAGGAAGAAAGAAACGCACAGAAAAAGAAACCAAAGCACGGGAUGCUAAGCAACUCACUGGAGAAGAAGACUUGCCCCAGGAUCCACUCUGUCGAGAAAUGGACAGGAAGAAACCAUACUGGAAUGUGAAUGUGGUGAUGCUAUUUGAAAUCAUGUGAAAGGGUGGUAGGAAGAGGGUAAGACGUAGUGUGCAGCUCUGGGAAGAAUUGGCAAGCCGUCAUCAGGCAGGUGACAUCUGGGGG